UACAGAGGGUGCGAGCGUUGUUCGGAAUUAUUGGGCGUAAAGGGCGCGUAGGCGGUGCGGUAAGUCACCUGUGAAAUCUCCUGGCUCAACUGGGAGCUUGCAGGCGAAACUGCCGUGCUGGAGUGUGGGAGAGGUGAGUGGAAUUCCCGGUGUAGCGGUGAAAUGCGUAGAUAUUGGGAAGAACACCGGUGGCGAAGGCGGCUCACUGGCACGUUUCUGACGCUCAGGCGCGACAGCGUGGGGAGCAAACAGG
Molecule: ribosomal RNA, 253 nt
Filed under: uncultured bacterium
Lineage: Bacteria
Description: partial 16S ribosomal RNA
Rfam family: Bacterial small subunit ribosomal RNA
Source: RNAcentral